UUAUAGCAGUAAGAAUAUGAACUUUGAAGAUAGAAACUGCUGAGCACCCUCAUUUCAGAGCAUAGAGAAAGGUAUGGAGGAAGCCUCCAGGCUGAAUGCAGGUGAAGGUGACCUUGGGGAAGGAGGUGGCCUGGGACAUGGAGGCUUUGGGCAAGCAGCAGUGAGACAGCAUGGAAGAUACUGAGAUCAGGCUAUUGAUGAAUUGAAACCCCUGGAUUAAAGCCACUGCAGCCUUAAUAGCUCUUAAUAGCUUCAUAGCUGCAGUGUGUGAGGGCAGUGCUGUGCAGCCCUUGUCCCACAGAUAUGGGGAACCUGUUGGUGAUAUUGGAAUAGAAAAACAGAGAUCAAGAAAAAAGAAUCUCGAGCUGUUAAAAAAAUGUAGAAUUGAGGACAAUUUAAAUAAAACGGACACCUACACAUGUCUGGAGACUGGAUAGGAUGCACCCAAGGACUGAGGGAGCUGGCUGACGUUGUUGCAAGGCCGUCUCUGAAAGGCUGUGGUGGCUGCAGGAGAGUCCUGAUGACUGGGAAGAGGCAGACAUCAAUCCUGCAGCUGGGCUGGGACAACCCCAGACAUCUGUGUGAGAUAAACCUCAUCUCUCCCCCCAAAA
Centrocercus urophasianus (Greater sage-grouse) is the source of this 611-nucleotide long non-coding RNA. RefSeq lists it as uncharacterized. The record is from RefSeq and is a predicted model, not a curated record. NCBI's taxonomy places the organism in Eukaryota, Metazoa, Chordata, Aves, Galliformes, Phasianidae. The transcript has 3 exons.